CACGUGACCUGUAACAACCCGUCAGCUGACAAGUGGACCCGAAGGUAACUUAGGAAAUAGCUCAAUGCCACCUGAGAUCUUCAGCAUACAGCUGAUGCGGGUAGCUGUGAAACGCAAGUCUCAACAAUGAUAUAAAAGCCAAUUUGUCACCCGUAAGUUCGUACCCCUAUGUGUUACUCUGCUGUGACGACACCGUGGCUGAAAACGGCAACAUACAUGCUGACAUAUCACGGCUCAUAAUCGCCUCGAAUACAAGAUUCGAACCUGCGUGAUCUGGUAGCAAAGGGAGCUCACCAUCACACAUUCGACAGCUGAUUUUGUGAGAGGAUACGCCCACAGCACAGAACAAUGCUUGCAAGGGAUAGUCUAAACAGUGAUCAAUGGUUACAUUUUGUUGAUCAUCGUCAUUACGCUCAGUAAUUUGUAAUUAGUAAAUAUGAAUAAUUCAUGCAGGAAUCGAAUUCGAAGCUAUAAUGAAUAAUCGUAAUUUAAAACUAUAUUCCAUUCGAAAUGAACCAAUUAUGUUUCACUGUAUCAAAAUAUACUUAGAUCGAACUCUCGUAUAUCCGGACCCUGUGCAAUGAAUCCCGAGGCCUACUGCACGGAACUUCAUGUAUACAAAGGGACAUUACUCAGCUUGGUGAAUUUU
Molecule: long non-coding RNA, 649 nt
Organism: Haliotis rubra (blacklip abalone)
Lineage: Eukaryota; Metazoa; Mollusca; Gastropoda; Lepetellida; Haliotidae
Exons: 3
Source: RefSeq, a predicted model, not a curated record